CAGUCGAUUAUUAUAAGUUCAAUAUAUCUGAGACACCUACUGAGUCGCGGAUUUUGGGUAAAACGUAAAAAUUUUAACGUAAAAUGUAAAACGUAAAAAUUUUAACGUAAAACGUAAAACGUAAAAAGUUUAACGUAAAACGUAAAAAGUUUAACGUAAAACGAAAAAAAAAUUAACAUAAAACGUAAAACGUAUAAAGUUUAACGUAAAACGUAAAAAUCUUAACGUAAAACGUAAAAAGUUUAACGUAAAAACGGCACGCAAAAUAAAAUUGUUUUGUUAAAAAAUAUGAAUUUAAAAUGCUUUUAAUAAAAAAAAUUAUGUAUAAAAAAUAAAAACUAAUAUAAUAAUACAAAAAAAGUAAUAAAAAUAAUAAAGACAAAAAGACAAAAAGGGUAAUUUUACUAAACUACCCUUUUGCAUUAGAAUAUUAAAAACACAAUAAGACAAAAAGUAUUUAAUAUUAAUUUUAAUUCCUUUUAAUCCCAACCAUCCAUCCAUCUUGAAGAUCUAAUGGUUGGAAAGUGGUUCUCUCGGUUCUCACAAUUGGGUGAUCAUUACAGAACACUAACUAUUGCGAGUACAAAAAGAACAACUCUAAAUAACUAAAUUUUGGGAUUUAAGGUUCAUAUUUCUUAAAUUUUAUGUUUCUUACAUUCAUAUGUGUACUAUAUAUAUACAUAAAAAAUCAUAUACUUUUCUGAUGUGCAAAUAUGGUCCGUAAAAACUACUAACCUAAUCUAGACACCCUAGUUUUAAAUUUAUAAACUACGACUCUCUAAAUGCUAGACCACUGACAGGCAAGUGUACCUAUCGUACGUAGUAAAGCCUAAUGAAGUCCGAGUAUCGAACCCACGAGACACUAGCGACGCUAAACUAGACUCUGACUCAACUAAUACUUAACUGGUUUUAAUUUGUAUUUUGAUUUUUUCCUAAUUAUACUAACAUGAGUAAACAAAAGAACAAAGAAAGCAAGCAAGGUGGUGAAGUGACGGGAAGCAGACAGUGAUGAGAGAGAACUACCUAGGUAUCGAAUCUCUAGAAUCAUGCAAUGCUAAUGUGACAACGAUAACGGUUAAAUAUCUAUUUCCCUCAAUUGACCACCCGCUAGAGAUGUCCCAAAUGAAAAAGCAAGACUAAAUGUGAAGUGCUAGAACGAACCGGCUCGAGCUAUCGAUACCAAAUCCUACGAAAAUAGAAUCCUUUUGACCUCAGAGACAGUUAUGUUAAGAGAAGAUCCCAAAAUCGCAAAGCAACCCAACUUUGAUAAUUGAAAUCUUAGGAGACCUUAAUUACGAUGCAAUAAACGAGCCCGAGCUAUCGGUCACCCAAUCUACCCACCAAUAAUUAGCUAAUAACCUAGCUCACCCUAAUCGUCUUUCGAGUCACAAGCUGAGGAUGCAAGUUUUAAUAUAGUGGUUUCAAUUAUUAGUCAACUUGAUCAAUUUCUCAACACAAUAUCUAACCCGAAAAUCCUAAGAUCAACGAAUUAAAUUAAAUCCUAAGUCUAGGGGGAAUUUCUUCGUGCCUAAACCGCUGAAUUUAUUGACUAAUAAAAUAACCAAAA
Molecule: long non-coding RNA, 1567 nt
Filed under: Helianthus annuus (common sunflower)
Lineage: Eukaryota; Viridiplantae; Streptophyta; Magnoliopsida; Asterales; Asteraceae
Description: hypothetical non coding rna
Source: RNAcentral